UUCUAUAUUAUUGUUAUUAUUAUUCACUUCAUUUCAGAUUCAGGUGUCCCAAGUCACUUCAACAGUGAUGAUCUACAGCUGAACAUCUUAUAAGUUCUGUUUUAUUAAGACCUAAUUUAGGGCUUCUCCUUUUCGUUGAGACUUGCUCUGCUGUGGCUUUGCCCCUCCCUCAUCUUGGAGGGUGAAGUUUCUAUUUUUAAGAGCUAUGCCAUCAGCAGCAUCCCCUUUCCAGCCCAGGUUGGAUGUGAGUGAGAAGUUGCUUUGGAUGUUUCUGUUAGUGGGUGUGCGAGUGGGUAGUUUAAGGAAUCUUCAUAAGUGAUUUGGAGACUUUAAAUAUCUGUGGAAUGGGGGAGCUUAACUUUUGCCGAAAUCAUGAUGGAUUGGCAGCGACGUUUAGGCUUCAAUUGAAGAACGAGCAUUUCGCUUGCAUCUUUGGAUUGGAGGAUCUUUGAUGGGUGCCUCCUGAUUUGACGAUAUUGACGAAUUGUUUGGUUUGGGAUGUCUGAGAUCGAAGGAUGUCUUAAUUGAAUGGAAUCUUGGCUACUCGAUGAUGGUGUCAAGUUUGAAUGUUCCAGUGCUUAUGAGGAAGAAGCCGAGACACGGGAAUUCAGAGUUGAUGAGGUUGGCAAAUACUCUGAGAGGAGAUGAAGUCAUGCUUUGGAAAGGAGAAUGUGCUCUUAUUUUUUGGGGGAAAAAAUGUAUGAACCUAUUUCCAUUAUCCAUUUUACUUUGACUUAAUGGGUCUUUUUGAUGGAGACAAA
Molecule: long non-coding RNA, 761 nt
Organism: Prosopis cineraria
Lineage: Eukaryota; Viridiplantae; Streptophyta; Magnoliopsida; Fabales; Fabaceae
Exons: 2
Source: RefSeq, a predicted model, not a curated record